This 301-nucleotide ribosomal RNA is filed under the name uncultured bacterium. RNAcentral describes it as "partial 16S ribosomal RNA". It matches the Rfam family "Bacterial small subunit ribosomal RNA", at positions 509 to 807 of the family's 1533-position model. The record is from RNAcentral.
CAGUAGCCACGGUAAUACGAAGGGUGCAAGCGUUGUUCGGAAUUACUGGGCGUAAAGCGCACGCAGGCGGUUUGUUAAGUCAGAUGUGAAAUCCCCGAGCUUAACUUGGGAACUGCAUUUGAAACUGGCAGGCUAGAGUCUUGUAGAGGGGGGUAGAAUUCCAGGUGUAGCGGUGAAAUGCGUAGAGAUCUGGAGGAAUACCGGUGGCGAAGGCGGCCCCCUGGACAAAGACUGACGCUCAGGUGCGAAAGCGUGGGGAGCAAACAGGAUUAGAUACCCCUGUAGUCCCUGUCUCUUAUAC